Molecule: long non-coding RNA, 1406 nt
Organism: Callithrix jacchus (white-tufted-ear marmoset)
Lineage: Eukaryota; Metazoa; Chordata; Mammalia; Primates; Cebidae
Source: RefSeq, a predicted model, not a curated record
CCUAUUACUUUGUGGUCCUAUCAUCCACAUGGAUAGUAAUGAUCUCUGUGACCAACUCUCAGGUCUGGCUUACAAAGGACAGUCACCAUUGAACUUCUGAGUGAUUCUGGUGGCAGUCUCAUCAGUGCAUUCCUGACGGCCUGGUGAAUGCCUAUUCUCUGAGUCUUCUCAUGGACCAUGAUCCUCUUGAAAGUCUCCUGGAUUCACAUAAUGUAUUUAUCCCAACGUUCUCUUUGCUGUCAGCUUUAUUAUUAUUUCUUUCUCUGCUGGCUAUAAGUACAACUCAGAUGAGGAAACAGGCUCUGACUUGAUCACAUUCAUGUAUCAAUUUAGUGGUUGACAUCCUGAAGACUGGAUUUCAAAUAAAAAUAAUAGUGAGCACCCACGAUGUGCCAGGAAUUGAAGUAGAUUCGUGGGAUGAGGACAAGACAGAAUCCACAUUCUUUAUGAGUUCAGAGAUUAACUGAGAGAGAAGAAAAGGACAGUGGCAAUCCUCCAUGGCAAGGGCUCUAUGGGGGUGCAGCAUCUUGUAAGAGAACACAGAGGACAGAUGGCCAUUCCAGACUCACCCGGAAUUGAAACUGGGCUCUGCACCUUGGGAAUCACAAGACUUAAAACAGGAUAUUUCACUUCCUCCAGUCUGUUUCUUAUCUAUAACAUGCAUCUAUUUCAUAUGGCUAUAAUGAGGAGUAAAUAAGGUCAUCUAGGUACAGGAUCUGAUACAUGAGUUAGGACCAGCUCGUUGCAUCUCAAGGAACGUGUUGAUCUACUUGAACUCUCUCUCUCUUUCCCCAGCUCCAUCUAGCUCUAAGUGCUUUAUCUCCACUCUCAGUUGUCAGACAUUUUGCAAGACAAACAGCAGCAUGCAAUGGGCUGGAGAAAGAAACAGCAGAAAGCAGAGUCAAAGAGCCCAGGGAGCCAUCCAUCACAAAGCUAUCCUGCCUUAAAGUGAAAAGUGCAAUUCCCUAAGACUCUGGUAACACCCGUGACUGAACAUCCUGCUAAUUUUAGCAAAAUAAUAAAUAUGAGUAAGUCUUGUUUAUGAAACUGACUGCAGCCAAAUGAAAGUGGGAAACCUUAGCUUACAAAGAAAUAAAAACCAGAAGCUCUUCCCUUUCAAUUGAAACCAUGAUUAACAAACAUUUGUAAAUCCAAGUUGCUCUCAAAAGAUCAAAAUUGGAAUGAUUCAGUGAUGAGAGCUUGCUAGAAAAAUUGUCUUCAGUACUUGCAAAACCAGCAUCAAUGAAGGUAGGAGAGUUGAAAGAGGCAGAGAGGAUUAGUGAAGGAAACUAUUUGUUUAGGUUCGUAUGUGCUAAAAACCCAGUGAAAUAAAAAUUGUAACCAAGGAAGAAUAAGAGAAUAUUAAAGCAAAGUAUUUUCUUUGAUGUUACUGCCUGCUUAGCUUC